CCCUUAGAUGUUCUGGGCUGCACACGUGCUACACUGGCAGGUUCAGCGAGCUUCAUGCCCUGAUCUGAAAGGAAUGGGAAAUCUUUUCAAAACCUGCCGUGCUUGGGAUAGAUGUUUGCAAUUAUUCAUCUUCAACGAGGAUUGCCUUGUAAGCGCACGUCAUCAGCGUGCAUUGAAUACGACCCUGUAUUCUGUACACACCGCCCGUCGCUCCUACCGAUUGAAGUGUUCGGUGAGUUGACAGGAGGAUUUUUUUGAAACUGGUUCGCCAGUGGAUUUUAGAUCCAAAUGCCAACGAAUCGAUGGCUUUAGAGGAAGGAGAAGUCGUAACA
RNAcentral lists this ribosomal RNA (332 nucleotides) under uncultured eukaryote. Its description in RNAcentral is "partial 18S ribosomal RNA". It matches the Rfam family "Eukaryotic small subunit ribosomal RNA", at positions 1470 to 1796 of the family's 1831-position model. The record is from RNAcentral.